AGAGUUUGAUCAUGGCUCAGAGCGAACACUGGCGGCAGGCUUAACACAUGCAAGUCGAGCGGGCAUAGCAAUAUGUCAGCGGCAGACGGGUGAGUAACGCGUGGGAACGUACCUUUUGGUUCGGGACAACACAGGGAAACUUGUGCUAAUACCGGAUAAGCCCUUACGGGGAAAGAUUUAUCGCCGAAAGAUCGGCCCGCGUCUGAUUAGCUAGUUGGUGAGGUAAUGGCUCACC
RNAcentral lists this ribosomal RNA (235 nucleotides) under uncultured bacterium. RNAcentral's name for it is "partial 16S ribosomal RNA". It matches the Rfam family "Bacterial small subunit ribosomal RNA", at positions 8 to 269 of the family's 1533-position model. The record is from RNAcentral.